RNAcentral lists this ribosomal RNA (282 nucleotides) under uncultured prokaryote. RNAcentral describes it as "partial 16S ribosomal RNA". It matches the Rfam family "Bacterial small subunit ribosomal RNA", at positions 524 to 803 of the family's 1533-position model. The record is from RNAcentral.
UACGUAGGGGGCAAGCGUUAUCCGGAAUUACUGGGUGUAAAGGGGGCGUAGGCGGCAUGGUAAGUAAGGUGUGAAAGCCUUGGGCUUAACCCGAGGAUUGCACUUUAAACUAUCAAGCUAGAGUACAGGAGAGGUAAGUGGAAUUCCUAGUGUAGCGGUGAAAUGCGUAGAUAUUAGGAAGAACACCAGUGGCGAAGGCGACUUACUGGACUGAAACUGACGCUGAGGCUCGGAAGCGUGGGGAGCAAACAGGAUUAGAUACCCUGGUAGUCCCUGAGCGGG